AUUGAACGCUGGCGGCAUGCCUUACACAUGCAAGUCGAACGGCAGCACGGGAGCAAUCCUGGUGGCGAGUGGCGAACGGGUGAGUAAUAUAUCGGAACGUGCCCAGUCGUGGGGGAUAACGUAGCGAAAGCUACGCUAAUACCGCAUACGAUCUAUGGAUGAAAGCGGGGGAUCGCAAGACCUCGCGCGAUUGGAGCGGCCGAUAUCAGAUUAGGUAGUUGGUGAGGUAAAGGCUCACCAAGCCGACGAUCUGUAGCCGGUCUGAGAGGACGACCAGCCACACUGGGACUGAGACACGGCCCAGACUCCUACGGGAGGCAGCAGUGGGGAAUUUUGGACAAUGGGCGCAAGCCUGAUCCAGCAAUGCCGCGUGCAGGAUGAAGGCCUUCGGGUUGUAAACUGCUUUUGUACGGAACGAAACGGCGAGCUCUAAUACAGUUUGCUAAUGACGGUACCGUAAGAAUAAGCACCGGCUAACUACGUGCCAGCAGCCGCCGCGG
This 500-nucleotide ribosomal RNA is filed under the name uncultured bacterium. RNAcentral describes it as "partial 16S ribosomal RNA". It matches the Rfam family "Bacterial small subunit ribosomal RNA", at positions 30 to 523 of the family's 1533-position model. The record is from RNAcentral.